RNAcentral lists this ribosomal RNA (497 nucleotides) under uncultured bacterium. Its description in RNAcentral is "partial 16S ribosomal RNA". It matches the Rfam family "Bacterial small subunit ribosomal RNA", at positions 28 to 507 of the family's 1533-position model. The record is from RNAcentral.
GAUGAACGCUGGCGGCGUGCCUAAUACAUGCAAGUCGAGCGAACAGACGAGGAGCUUGCUCCUCUGACGUUAGCGGCGGACGGGUGAGUAACACGUGGAUAACCUACCUAUAGGACUGGGAUAACUUCGGGAAACCGGAGCUAAUACCGGAUAAUAUAUUGAACCGCAUGGUUCAAUAGUGAAAGACGGUUUUGCUGUCACUUAUAGAUGGAUCCGCGCCGCAUUAGCUAGUUGGUAAGGUAACGGCUUACCAAGGCAACGAUGCGUAGCCGACCUGAGAGGGUGAUCGGCCACACUGGAACUGAGACACGGUCCAGACUCCUACGGGAGGCAGCAGUAGGGAAUCUUCCGUAAUGGGCGAAAGCCUGACGGAGCAACGCCGCGUGAGUGAUGAAGGUCUUCGGAUCGUAAAACUCUGUUAUUAGGGAAGAACAAAUGUGUAAGUAACUAUGCACGUCUUGACGGUACCUAAUCAGAAAGCCACGGCUAACUACGUG